UGUCGUUUAGCUCAGUCGGUAGAGCAUCGUGCUAAUAACGCGAGGUCGCAGGUUCGAGCCCUGCAUCGACCA
Molecule: transfer RNA, 72 nt
Filed under: Perkinsus marinus ATCC 50983
Lineage: Eukaryota; Perkinsozoa; Perkinsida; Perkinsidae
Rfam family: tRNA
About the family: Transfer RNA (tRNA) molecules are approximately 80 nucleotides in length.
Source: Rfam by way of RNAcentral